UGGGGAAUCAUGGACAAUGGAGGAAACUCUGAUCCUGCAAUUCUGCGUGGAGGACGACGCCUUACGGGGUGUAAACUCCUUUUCUGGUGGAAGACGACUGACGGUACACCAGGAAUAAGGGACGGCUAACUACGUGCCAGCAGCCGCGGUAAUACGUAGGUCCCAAGCGUUAUCCGGAUUUACUGGGCGUAAAGCGUCUGUAGCUGGUUUUAUAAGUCUGUUUUCAAAUCCUGCGACUCAAUCGUAGAAAGGGAAUGGAUACUGUAGAACUGGAGGUACUGAGGGGUAAGUGGAAUUUCCGGUGGAGCGGUGGAAUGCGUUGAUAUCGGAAGGAACGCCAAAAGCGAAGGCAGCUUACUAUUGGAUACCUGACAGUGAGAGACGAAAGUAUGGGUAGCAAACG
This 403-nucleotide ribosomal RNA is filed under the name uncultured bacterium. Its description in RNAcentral is "bacterial SSU rRNA". It matches the Rfam family "Bacterial small subunit ribosomal RNA", at positions 355 to 774 of the family's 1533-position model. The record is from RNAcentral.